UAUGGCUGGAUUUUGGAUGUUCUUAAUAGCCUGUCAAUAUCAGAAAUUUGCGGGCACGGAUGCCCGCAAAAGGAGCAACUGAGCCAUGGAUGGCGAAUUUGCUCCGGUUUCGUCCCCAUCCGGCAACGUCCCACAGGGUAUUUAGAACAUCCAAAUCCCAGACAU
Molecule: non-coding RNA, 165 nt
Organism: Clostridiales bacterium 44_9
Lineage: Bacteria; Bacillati; Bacillota; Clostridia; Eubacteriales
Source: Rfam